RNAcentral lists this ribosomal RNA (238 nucleotides) under uncultured bacterium. Its description in RNAcentral is "partial 16S ribosomal RNA". It matches the Rfam family "Bacterial small subunit ribosomal RNA", at positions 28 to 262 of the family's 1533-position model. The record is from RNAcentral.
GAUGAACGCUAGCGGCAGGCUUAACACAUGCAAGUCGAGGGGCAGCACGGGUAGCAAUACCUGGUGGCGACCGGCAAACGGGUGCGGAACACGUACGCAACAUACCUUUUACUGGGGCAUAGCCUUCUGAAAAGAAGAUUGACGACCCCAUAAUAUCAAUGACUGGCAUCAGUUGAUGAUUAAAAUUUAGUUGGUAAGAGAUUGGCGUGCGUCCUAUUAGCUAGUUGGUAUGGGUAAU